GUGUCAGCAGCCGCGGUAAUACAGAGGGUGCAAGCGUUGUUCGGAAUUAUUGGGCGUAAAGCGCGUGUAGGCGGCUUCGUAAGUCGGAUGUGAAAGCCCUCGGCUUAACCGAGGAAGUGCGUUCGAAACUGCGAGACUUGAGUACCGGAGAGGGUGGCGGAAUUCCCGGUGUAGAGGUGAAAUUCGUAGAUAUCGGGAGGAACACCAGCGGCGAAGGCGGCCACCUGGACGGAUACUGACGCUGAGACGCGAAAGCGUGGGGAGCAAACAGGAUUAGAUACCCUGGUAGUCCACGCCGUAAACGAUGAGCGCUAGGUGUUGUGGGUGUUGACCCCUGCAGUGCCGCAGCUAACGCAUUAAGCGCUCCGCCUGGGAAGUACGGCCGCAAGGCUAAA
Molecule: ribosomal RNA, 395 nt
Filed under: uncultured bacterium
Lineage: Bacteria
Description: bacterial SSU rRNA
Rfam family: Bacterial small subunit ribosomal RNA
Source: RNAcentral